RNAcentral lists this transfer RNA (68 nucleotides) under Pachydactylus tsodiloensis. RNAcentral describes it as "tRNA-Tyr". Lineage: Eukaryota; Metazoa; Chordata; Lepidosauria; Squamata; Gekkonidae. The record is from RNAcentral.
CUGGCAAUAAGGACUAGCUCCUGUACGUGGAUUUACAAUCCACCGCCUCCUCGCUCGGCCAUAUUACC